GUAUUGUAUUGCGUUAAACGCGGCGCACAUUCCAUAAGACUUUGCUGCGGUGUGUGUGUAAAGACGUAGAGCUACAGGAGGGAGGAGACGACGCGCCCCCCAGACCAUAGAACUACAGAGGGUGCACAGGUGUGAGUGGAUGUGUGGACAGAGUGUGCACAUGCCCCCGUUUGAGGACCAGCGACAACUCGUGUCGACAACUCAGUAAUGAUCCUUCCGCAGGUUCACCUACGGAAA
Molecule: unclassified non-coding RNA, 237 nt
Filed under: uncultured fungus
Lineage: Eukaryota; Fungi
Description: sequence contains ITS1
Source: RNAcentral